GGAGGCAGCAGUGGGGAAUAUUGCACAAUGGGCGAAAGCCUGAUGCAGCGACGCCGCGUGAGGGAUGACGGCCUUCGGGUUGUAAACCUCUUUCAGCAGGGAAAAAAGCGAAAGUGACGGUACCUGCAGAAAUAAGCGCCGGCUAACUACGUGCCAGCAGCCGCGGUAAUACGUAGGGCGCAAGCGUUGUCCGGAAUUAUUGGGCGUAAAGAGCUCGUAGGCGGCUUUGUCACGUCGGGGUGUGAAAGCCCGGGGCUUAACCCCCGGGUCUGCAUUCGAUACGGGCUAGCUAGAAUGUGGUAGGGGAGAUCGGAAUUCUUGGUGUAGCGGUGAAAUGCGCAGAUAUCAGGAGGAACACCCGGGUGGGCGAAGGCGGAUCUCUGGGCCAUUACUGACCGCUGAGGGAGCGAAAGCGUGGGGGAGCGAACCAGGAAUUAGGAUACCCUUGGUAGUCCACCGCCGUAAAACGGGUGGGAACUAGGGUGUUGGGGACAAUUUCCAGGGUCGUUCGGUGCCGCAGCUAAACGCCAUUAAGUUCCCCGCCCUGGGAGAGUACGCGCCGCAAGGCUUAAAACUCCAAAGAGAAUUGACGGGGGCCCGCACAAGCAGCGGGAGCAUGUGGGCUUAAUUCGACGCAACGCCGAAGAACCUUACCCAAGGCUUGACAUACACCCGGAAACGUCUGGAGACAGGGCGCCCCCUUGUGGUCGGUGUACAGGUGGUGCAUGGCUGUCGUCAGCUCGUGUCGUGAGAUGUUGGGUUAAGUCCCGCAACGAGCGCAACCCUUGUUCUGUGUUGCCAGC
Molecule: ribosomal RNA, 803 nt
Filed under: Streptomyces sp. CACIS-2.5CA
Lineage: Bacteria; Bacillati; Actinomycetota; Actinomycetes; Kitasatosporales; Streptomycetaceae
Description: bacterial SSU rRNA
Rfam family: Bacterial small subunit ribosomal RNA
Source: RNAcentral